CGGUGAGAACGUACAGUAAGCA
RNAcentral lists this microRNA (22 nucleotides) under Nematostella vectensis (starlet sea anemone). RNAcentral describes it as "nve-miR-2036-5p". Lineage: Eukaryota; Metazoa; Cnidaria; Anthozoa; Actiniaria; Edwardsiidae. The record is from miRBase by way of RNAcentral.